This 466-nucleotide ribosomal RNA is filed under the name Kryptonesticus dimensis. RNAcentral's name for it is "partial 16S ribosomal RNA". It matches the Rfam family "Bacterial large subunit ribosomal RNA", at positions 1808 to 2622 of the family's 2925-position model. The record is from RNAcentral. Lineage: Eukaryota; Metazoa; Arthropoda; Arachnida; Araneae; Nesticidae.
CAAAAACAUUUUUUAAUGAAAUAAUAUUAAAUAAAGCCUGCUCAAUGAAAUAAAUAGCCGCAGAAAAUUUACUGUGCUAAGGUAGCAUAAUCAUUUGUCUUUUAAUUAAAGACUAGAACGAACGACUUAACAAUUAAAUAAUUUUUUUUACUAAAUAUUUAAUUUAACUUAAGCAUAAAAAUCUGCUUAUAAAUAUAAUAGACGACAAGACCCUAUUGAACUUAACUGAUGUUUAGCUGGGGAAGCUAAAUAAUAACUAUUUUAUUAAUAUAUCUAAAAUAAAAACCUCUUAAAUAAAAUAAUCAAGUUACCAUAGGGAUAACAGCGUAAUAAUUUUCUAGAGCUCUUAUUUAAAAAAAAGUUUACGACCUCGAUGUUGAAUUAAUUUUCCUUUUUAGCGCAAGCGCUAAAAAAGUAAGUCUGUUCGACUUUACAAAAAUUACAUGAUCUGAGUUCAAACCGGAGA